AGUAAUGCCUAGGAAUCUGCCUGGUAGUGGGGGAUAACGUCCGGAAACGGGCGCUAAUACCGCAUACGUCCUGAGGGAGAAAGUGGGGGAUCUUCGGACCUCACGCUAUCAGAUGAGCCUAGGUCGGAUUAGCUAGUUGGUGGGGUAAAGGCCUACCAAGGCGACGAUCCGUAACUGGUCUGAGAGGAUGAUCAGUCACACUGGAACUGAGACACGGUCCAGACUCCUACGGGAGGCAGCAGUGGGGAAUAUUGGACAAUGGGCGAAAGCCUGAUCCAGCCAUGCCGCGUGUGUGAAGAAGGUCUUCGGAUUGUAAAGCACUUUAAGUUGGGAGGAAGGGCAGUAAGUUAAUACCUUGCUGUUUUGACGUUACCAACAGAAUAAGCACCGGCUAACUUCGUGCCAGCAGCCGCGGUAAUACGAAGGGUGCAAGCGUUAAUCGGAAUUACUGGGCGUAAAGCGCGCGUAGGUGGUUCAGCAAGUUGGAUGUGAAAUCCCCGGGCUCAACCUGGGAACUGCAUCCAAAACUACUGAGCUAGAGUACGGUAGA
Molecule: ribosomal RNA, 550 nt
Filed under: Pseudomonas aeruginosa
Lineage: Bacteria; Pseudomonadati; Pseudomonadota; Gammaproteobacteria; Pseudomonadales; Pseudomonadaceae
Description: bacterial SSU rRNA
Rfam family: Bacterial small subunit ribosomal RNA
Source: RNAcentral